CCUACGGGAGGCAGCAGUGAGGAAUAUUGGUCAAUGGGCUUACGCCUGAACCAGCCAAGUCGCGUGAGGGAAGACUGCCCUAUGGGUUGUAAACCUCUUUUGUCAGGGAGCAACGCCGGCUACGUGUAGCCGGACUGAGAGUACCUGAAGAAAAAGCAUCGGCUAACUCCGUGCCAGCAGCCGCGGUAAUACGGAGGAUGCGGGCGUUAUCCGGAUUUAUUGGGUUUAAAGGGUGCGUAGCCGGAAUGCCAAGUCAGCGGUAAAAUCGCGGGGCUCAACCUCGCUCCGCCGUUGAAACUGGCGUUCUUGAGUGGGCGAGAAGUAUGCGGAAUGCGUGGUGUAGCGGUGAAAUGCAUAGAUAUCACGAAGAACUCCGAUUGCGAAGGCAGCAUACCGGCGCCCAACUGACGCUGAAGCACGAAAGCGUGGGUAGCGAACAGGAUUAGAUACCCGAGUAGUC
This 460-nucleotide ribosomal RNA is filed under the name uncultured bacterium. RNAcentral's name for it is "partial 16S ribosomal RNA". It matches the Rfam family "Bacterial small subunit ribosomal RNA", at positions 338 to 795 of the family's 1533-position model. The record is from RNAcentral.